UAAUGGUCCAACAUCAUUCCAGAUGUUUUGGAAUGUUGAAAUUUCUCGAAUUUUUUUUUCUGGGGCAAUUAAUUAAUUUGCUCUGGUGAUGAUAAUAAUGACGAUGAUGAUGACUAAUUCAAGGAUCUAUUGUGUGGCAACAUGCAACAAAAAAAAGAAAUUCUUUUUUGAUUAAAGACACACAAAAAUUGAUUGCAAUUUCCUUUUUCCGGUUGUUUGAGUUUUUUUUUUUUUGAUUACGCAAAAUGGUCAUACAAACUCAAACACACCUUUAAUUCAAGGUACCACCAACAACAGAUUGCAGUAUGCGCGUUUUCCUGUUGAGAAAAUAUUUUUUUUGUCCUUUAAAAAGUUUUAUUAUGAUUUUCGAUCGUGUCCAUUUUCAUUCAUUCAUUCAAUCAUUGACCAUUAACGACCACGACAGACUAACGAUAAAAAAAUAUGAAUUUUAUUCGGAUUGUGACAAGUUUUUUGGCUGGAUUAUUGCUGCUACUUCUGAUGAUGACAAUGAUGACAGCCAAUGCUAAUCCAGUUGCCGUUGGCGGUAAAGUUGGACCACAUGGUGGUGGAUUUACCAGCGGAUUUGCUGUUGGUCGUUCAAUAGCGCUUGGACCAGGAGGAAAAGUAUCGACCGGUGGUUUUGGACCAUUUUUUGGUGGUAUACCAUUUUUCUUUCGAAAAUAAAUCGAAGAUACCAAAGAAAAUUUUUUUUUUUUUUGUUUUGUUAUUGUUGUUGUUGAAAUAAGAUACACUUUUCUUCUUUGUAAAUGAAGCGAAAAUGAUGAUGAUUUUUUUCUCGAUAUCUCUUUCUCGUUGAACCAAAUCAUGAUAAAAAGUUACCGCGCUCAUCCGUUGUUUAUGAAUGAAUAAAAAUUCGAAUUUUUUUUUUUUUUUGCUAUUGAAAUAUAAUCAACACAUUCAGAUACAGAUCGGUCGAUUAGUGUGUUUUUUCUUUGAUCAAUUUGAACCACAAAAAACGAAAUUUCCAAGGGUAAUUUUCAUGGAACCUUGACAAUUUUUUUUUUGUUUUUGACUUUUUGAACUUUUCAAUUGAAAAAAUGUGUUUGUUUUUUAUUAUUAUCGUCAUCAUCAUCAACAAAAGCUUAACGAAUUUUGUCUAAUUAAACACAGAGAAUGUUGAAGCGAGUGACAUACACAGUUCACUACUUUUUUGGGGAUGAGCACAAUGGAUCCACACAUAUGGAUAUCGAAUUACAUGAACGAACGAACGAACGAACGACCAACAAAAAUUGUCCAAGGUCUAAUUUUGAAUAAAAGGGAAAAAACCAUUUCGAUUCGAAUUCAAAAACUGGAUUGAAUUGGUCAAUGUUG
This is a non-coding RNA of Dermatophagoides farinae (American house dust mite), 1332 nucleotides long. Lineage: Eukaryota; Metazoa; Arthropoda; Arachnida; Sarcoptiformes; Pyroglyphidae. The record is from RefSeq and is a predicted model, not a curated record.